AUCCAGUUCCUCCUGCGACGCCAUUGUCACGAAACCGAAGCCUCGUGAGCGCCCAGUGUCUCUGUCGUAGACGACCCUGGCAUCGACCACUUUGCCAUGCUCGCUGAACAGCUCCACCAACCUAGAGUCGUCCACUUGCCAUGGCAGGUUGCCCACAUAGAUCCUGAAUGAAGACCCGGAAUCACGGGGAGGCCUUUCCACCCGGGCGCCUCUAGGAGCUGCCUUGUUUACAGUCAACAGCCUCCCAUUCACAUCCUGCCCACGGUAAGAUCAAUCAGCAAAGCACAUGUUUGUACAUUCUUUAGCACAUGCUUAAGCAGCAUACGAAUUACACGCAUGACUCUGAGCUAGGAGAGUACUAAUACCUAACACACAAAUCAAUUAAAAUGGGACAUAUAACAGGAAACAUAUGCAAAUGCAAACCAGGAGCAUCCAUUAUAUACAGGUUCCAUUAACUGAAAUCAGAAUAUUAAAGCACAGCAGUCCCAUCAUCAAGUCCACUUACGUAGCGAUGGAACAUCUCUACAGCCUUCUCAGCCUCCUCAAUGGUACUCAUGGUGACAAACCCGAAUCCACGGCUCUGGUCGGUUUCUCGGUUGUAAAUGACCUGCACAUGCACCAAACAGAAACCACAUUUUUAGGACAAAGAGGAAAGGCAUACAGCCUCCAAGCAUCUACAAUCCAACCGCCCCUCCAAAAAUAGUGAUAAAGCCAAAUACCAUGCUAGGCGUGAAUCAACGGUAACAAUGUCAGGAAACGGUACAUUUUUCUUUACAAAUGCAUUUAAAUCCUCAGCAGCGGAACUUCUUAUUAGAACUUAGAAGCCACAUCACAUUAGGAUGGAAAAGGUGUGCAAGUGUGCCUAACAAGGUAACAGACAAUCCAAGACAAAAUUACGAGCGAAAACUUGUGAUUACUAGCACCUACACACAUCAUUGGUCGCAUGAUGCAUCCCUAGAAAGCUUGAAUAGCUGCCAAGAAUAAUCCAGCAGCCCCUCCUAGUGAGCUCCAACAGGGUAGCCACCGCAUUCAACUAGACAUUGUCCAGAACUGAAUGCGCCAAUUUUCAGUUUUGUGUAACUGCAUGAUUUCAGAGUUUGUGCCAUUUUAUUCACCAACGGAACGGAGUGGGUUAUCACCGAGACGGUAUUUCAGGCAUUCUUUUCAGCAAACAAGCGUGCGUAUGUAUGCAAUACCCACGGACGAGCGGACAAAUGAACGACCGCAGCAGCAGCAGCGAAGAGGAAGAGCCGCUCACCUCGGAGACCUCGACGACGCCGGCCUGCUCGAAGAGCUGCGCGAGGCGCUCGCUGUCGACGUCGUAGGGCAGGUUGCCGACGUACACCUUGGCCUCCUCCGGCGGCUCCACGUACUCCCCGACCUCCUCCUCGGCCGCCACGUCAAACUCCUCCUCGGCCACGGCCACGGCGGGCUCCUCCUCCGCGACGGCCUCGAGGGCCUCGUCCUCCGGCUCGGC
Molecule: long non-coding RNA, 1477 nt
Filed under: Hordeum vulgare
Lineage: Eukaryota; Viridiplantae; Streptophyta; Magnoliopsida; Poales; Poaceae
Description: long non-coding RNA (HVUL_LNC013802)
Source: RNAcentral